This 299-nucleotide unclassified non-coding RNA is filed under the name plant metagenome. RNAcentral's name for it is "partial contains 5.8S ribosomal RNA, internal transcribed spacer 2, and large subunit ribosomal RNA". The stretch from base 1 to 105 matches the Rfam family "5.8S ribosomal RNA", at positions 50 to 154 of the family's 154-position model. The record is from RNAcentral.
GAAAUGCGAUAAGUAAUGUGAAUUGCAGAAUUCAGUGAAUCAUCGAAUCUUUGAACGCUCAUUGCGCCCCCUGGUAUUCCGGGGGGCAUGCCUGUUCGAGCGUCAUUUCACCACUCAAGCCUCGCUUGGUAUUGGGCGACGCGGUCCGCCGCGCGCCUCAAAUCGACCGGCUGGGUCUUUCGUCCCCUCAGCGUUGUGGAAACUAUUCGCUAAAGGGUGCCGCGGGAGGCCACGCCGUAAAACAACCCCAUUUCUAAGGUUGACCUCGGAUCAGGUAGGGAUACCCGCUGAACUUAAGC